RNAcentral lists this ribosomal RNA (464 nucleotides) under Vreelandella stevensii. Its description in RNAcentral is "partial 16S ribosomal RNA". It matches the Rfam family "Bacterial small subunit ribosomal RNA", at positions 338 to 795 of the family's 1533-position model. The record is from RNAcentral. Lineage: Bacteria; Pseudomonadati; Pseudomonadota; Gammaproteobacteria; Oceanospirillales; Halomonadaceae.
CCUACGGGUGGCUGCAGUGGGGAAUAUUGGACAAUGGGCGAAAGCCUGAUCCAGCCAUGCCGCGUGUGUGAAGAAGGCCUUCGGGUUGUAAAGCACUUUCAGUGGGGAAGAAAGCCUUGGGGCUAAUACCCUCGAGGAAGGACAUCACCCACAGAAGAAGCACCGGCUAACUCCGUGCCAGCAGCCGCGGUAAUACGGAGGGUGCGAGCGUUAAUCGGAAUUACUGGGCGUAAAGCGCGCGUAGGCGGUCUGAUAAGCCGGUUGGGAAAGCCCCGGGCUCAACCUGGGAACGGCAUCCGGAACUGUCAGGCUAGAGUGCAGGAGAGGAAGGUAGAAUUCCCGGUGUAGCGGUGAAAUGCGUAGAGAUCGGGAGGAAUACCAGUGGCGAAGGCGGCCUUCUGGACUGACACUGACGCUGAGGUGCGAAAGCGUGGGUAGCAAACAGGAUUAGAUACCUUGUAGUC